Molecule: non-coding RNA, 1828 nt
Organism: Peromyscus maniculatus bairdii (prairie deer mouse)
Lineage: Eukaryota; Metazoa; Chordata; Mammalia; Rodentia; Cricetidae
Source: RefSeq, a predicted model, not a curated record
AAAGGUGGAGGUGAAGAAGGGGAUGAUGGAGGCGGUGAUGGCAAUGGCGGGGUGGUGGUGGUACUGAUGGUGAUGAUCGUGGUGAUGACGGAGGUGGUGGUGAAGGUGGUAAGCGAUGGUGGUGACGGAGAAAGUAAUGGUGGUGGUGAUUAAUGAUGGAGGUGAUGAUGAUGAUGGAGGAUAUGGCGGUGGUGAAUCUGGGUUGAAACGAUAGAGGUGGUGGUGAUGUCACCGUGGUGAUCAUGGGGGAAGGCAAUGAUGGUGACAGCAUCAGAAGUGAUGUCAGAGGGUGGUCAUGGCAACGGUGACGCUGAUGGAGGUAGAGGCAGCGGUGGUAACAGAGGGGCGUGAUAGUGCAGAGGGUGUCGCUGAUGCAGACUGGGACAGAGAAGGAAGGCAGUGGUGAUGCUGGUACCAGGUAGGUGCUGGUGUAGUCUGAGGCUCCCAUAAUGAUGUCAUCAGGGUGGUGGUGGGCUUACAGUCCUGAGUUCGAGGGGUUCAGGGUGAUGAUGUGUCCUGAAACCCGGUCGUCCCCUCCGGCCCCAGCCAGGCACCUCUCUUGUCCCGCUGGCAUCUCUGGUUCUGUCUCAAUCGUCUCCCAGGAGGAACCUCUGGCUUCUGCUGACUAGCUCGGCUGCCUUGCCCUCUUCCUCCAAAUGGAGCCUGUCUGUCCAAGUGAGACAACAUGGAGGCCCCAACACCGCUCAGGUUCAGGGAUCGCCCAAGACAGAGAACACUUUCAGUGACUUAGGGCGUUACCACAUCCAGGGCCCCUCAGGGCCGGAGGGACCAUGACAGUGGAGACCCCCUAGGUGGGCAGUGAAGGAAGAGACAGAACUUAGAAGUGGACAGCCACUUGGUGGCAGCAUGCCGAGGUGACUUCCCCCUCUACAGAGUUCUACGAACCAAUGUCCUGUGAGGUCCCCAAGUCUGAAGUGUUAGGGGGGUCCCGGUGGAGGAGUGUAGGAUCUGAGGGCAGAGCAUGGUGCACAGGCAGGGACACUAGCCAGCCCCUGAGCUCCUGAUUCCACGACUGUUAGGCCAUCUCCAUUUUGUAAAUUUCUGUCCUCAUUCACGAGUGGGAUGAUGAGACGCCCCCUCUCCCCUUCUCUGAGGGGUCAGCCUCUGAUGCCUCAAGACCAUAGUCUCAGAAAGGACUCUGGGAAGAGAAAGGAGAUCAGAUGAUUAGAUGAUCUCAGCAGAACCCAGCUCAGUAGAGAAGCAGGCCCAGAGACGGCAGGGCAUACCCAAGGUCACACAGCAGCUCCAGAAAGCCCUCCCCAGGCAAGCUGAUGGAGGCUGAUUAGGCAGCCAGAGGCCCCUCUGUCUCUCUAAUUAAUGGAGUGGCUUUUUAAAAGGAUUCUAAUCACCCCGAUGCUAUCUGCUUAUCGCCAGAAUUCCUAAUUAGAUGGUCCUGGCAGGAACUUGCCUAAUUCCCUCCAGCCUCUGCCCCCUGCCCAGGGGGGCAGCCCACCCACCCAUCCUCCCCACCAGAUGGGCAGCUGUGGGGCCUCCUCUCCUCUCGGGGCCUGAGGUGGCCAACUCCAUUUCCUUCAGGAUGGAUGGGUGACAGGAAUGGAUGGAUGGGCUGCUGGAUUGACAGUGACAGGCGCUGGACAUCAAACCUGGUCCUCUUCGAUGGGCAGCCAGUGCUCUCAACCACUGUACCACAUCUCCAGUCCACUCACUUAAGCAUCUUAUGGAAAAUGAGCAAAUACACCAAAUGAACUUCAUACUGCCAACUAUUAUAUCACAACAAAAAUGAAUGAACCAGAACUUUAUGUAUUAAUGUGAAUAAAUAUCUCAAAUGUGAUGGUAAGCAAAAAAA